RNAcentral lists this ribosomal RNA (238 nucleotides) under uncultured bacterium. Its description in RNAcentral is "partial 16S ribosomal RNA". It matches the Rfam family "Bacterial small subunit ribosomal RNA", at positions 95 to 334 of the family's 1533-position model. The record is from RNAcentral.
ACGGCGGACGGGGGAGUAACGCGUGGGUAACCUACCCUGUACACACGAUAACAUACCGAAAGGUAUGCUAAUACGGGAUAAUAUAUUUGAGAGGCAUCUCUUAAAUAUCAAAGGUGAGCCAGUACAGGAUGGACCCGCGUCUGAUUAGCUAGUUGGUAAGGUAACGGCUUACCAAGGCGACGAUCAGUAGCCGACCUGAGAGGGUGAUCGGCCACAUUGGAACUGAGACACGGUCCAA